Molecule: ribosomal RNA, 527 nt
Filed under: Plectosphaerella cucumerina
Lineage: Eukaryota; Fungi; Ascomycota; Sordariomycetes; Glomerellales; Plectosphaerellaceae
Description: eukaryotic LSU rRNA
Rfam family: 5.8S ribosomal RNA (bases 155-308)
Source: RNAcentral
GCGGAGGGAUCAUUACUGAGUACUACACUCUCUACCCUUUGUGAACUAUUAUACCUGUUGCUUCGGCGGCGCCCGCAAGGGUGCCCGCCGGUCUCAUCAGAAUCUCUGUUUUCGAACCCGACGAUACUUCUGAGUGUUCUUAGCGAACUGUCAAAACUUUUAACAACGGAUCUCUUGGCUCCAGCAUCGAUGAAGAACGCAGCGAAACGCGAUAUGUAAUGUGAAUUGCAGAAUUCAGUGAAUCAUCGAAUCUUUGAACGCACAUGGCGCCUUCCAGUAUCCUGGGAGGCAUGCCUGUCCGAGCGUCGUUUCAACCCUCGAGCCCCUGUGGCCCGGCGUUGGGGAUCUGCCACGGCAGGCCCCUAAAACCAGUGGCGGACCCGAAGGCCCUCUCCUUUGCGCAGUAGCAUCAGCCUCGCAUUGGGAUCCCUCGGCGUCCUGCCUCUAAACCCCCCACAAGUCCGCUCCGGCGGCACCAAGGUUGACCUCGGAUCAGGUAGGAAUACCCGCUGAACUUAAGCAUAUCA